AGCUCAAAUUUAUAAUCUGGCACCUUCGGUGUCCGAGUUGUAAUCUCUAGAAAUGUUUUCCGCGUUGGACCGCACACAAGUCUGUUGGAAUACAGCGGCAUAGUGGUGAGACCCCCGUAUAUGGUGCGGACGCCCAGCGCUUUGUGAUACAUUUUCGAAGAGUCGAGUUGUUUGGGAAUGCAGCUCAAAUUGGGUGGUAAAUUCCAUCUAAAGCUAAAUAUUGGCGAGAGACCGAUAGCGAACAAGUACCGUGAGGGAAAGAUGAAAAGCACUUUGGAAAGAGAGUUAACAGUACGUGAAAUUGUUGGAAGGGAAACGCUUGAAGUCAGACUUGCUUGCCGAGCAAUCGGUUUGCAGGCCAGCAUCAGUUUUCCGGGAUGGAUAAUGGUAGAGAGAAGGUAGCAGUUUCGGCUGUGUUAUAGCUCUCUGCUGGAUACAUCUUGGGGGACUGAGGAACGCAGUGUGCCUUU
Molecule: ribosomal RNA, 470 nt
Filed under: Rhodotorula sp.
Lineage: Eukaryota; Fungi; Basidiomycota; Microbotryomycetes; Sporidiobolales; Sporidiobolaceae
Description: partial large subunit ribosomal RNA
Rfam family: Eukaryotic large subunit ribosomal RNA
Source: RNAcentral